UUAAGCGACUAAGCGUACACGGUGGAUGCCCUGGCAGUCAGAGGCGAUGAAGGGCGUGCUAAUCUGCGAUAAGCGCCGGUAAGGUGAUAUGAACCGUUAUAACCGGCGAUACCCGAAUGGGGAAACCCAGUGUGAUUCGUCACACUAUCAUUAACUGAAUCCAUAGGUUAAUGAGGCGAACCGGGGGAACUGAAACAUCUAAGUACCCCGAGGAAAAGAAAUCAACCGAGAUUCCCCCAGUAGCGGCGAGCGAACGGGGAGGAGCCCAGAGCCUGAAUCAGCAUGUGUGUUAGUGGAAGCGUCUGGAAAGGCGCGCGAUACAGGGUGACAGCCCCGUACACAAAAGCGCAUGUGCUGUGAGCUCGAUGAGUAGGGCGGGACACGUGGUAUCCUGUCUGAAUAUGGGGGGACCAUCCUCCAAGGCUAAAUACUCCUGACUGACCGAUAGUGAACCAGUACCGUGAGGGAAAGGCGAAAAGAACCCCGGCGAGGGGAGUGAAAAAGAACCUGAAACCGUGUACGUACAAGCAGUGGGAGCACAGGUUUACCUGUGUGACUGCGUACCUUUUGUAUAAUGGGUCAGCGACUUAUAUUCUGUAGCAAGGUUAACCGAAUAGGGGAGCCGUAGGGAAACCGAGUCUUAACCGGGCGUUAAGUUGCAGGGUAUAGACCCGAAACCCGGUGAUCUAGCCAUGGGCAGGUUGAAGGUUGGGUAACACUAACUGGAGGACCGAACCGACUAAUGUUGAAAAAUUAGCGGAUGACCUGUGGCUGGGGGUGAAAGGCCAAUCAAACCGGGAGAUAGCUGGUUCUCCCCGAAAGCUAUUUAGGUAGCGCCUCGUGAAUUCAUCUCCGGGGGUAGAGCACUGUUUCGGCUAGGGGGCCAUCCCGGCUUACCAACCCGAUGCAAACUGCGAAUACCGGAGAAUGUUAUCACGGGAGACACACGGCGGGUGCUAACGUCCGUCGUGAAGAGGGAAACAACCCAGACCGCCAGCUAAGGUCCCAAAGUCAUGGUUAAGUGGGAAACGAUGUGGGAAGGCCCAGACAGCCAGGAUGUUGGCUUAGAAGCAGCCAUCAUUUAAAGAAAGCGUAAUAGCUCACUGGUCGAGUCGGCCUGCGCGGAAGAUGUAACGGGGCUAAACCAUGCACCGAAGCUGCGGCAGCGACACUGUGUGUUGUUGGGUAGGGGAGCGUUCUGUAAGCCUGUGAAGGUGUGUCGUGAGGCAUGCUGGAGGUAUCAGAAGUGCGAAUGCUGACAUAAGUAACGAUAAAGCGGGUGAAAAGCCCGCUCGCCGGAAGACCAAGGGUUCCUGUCCAACGUUAAUCGGGGCAGGGUGAGUCGACCCCUAAGGCGAGGCCGAAAGGCGUAGUCGAUGGGAAACGGGUUAAUAUUCCCGUACUUGGUGUUACUGCGAAGGGGGGACGGAGAAGGCUAUGUUGGCCGGGCGACGGUUGUCCCGGUUUAAGCGUGUAGGUGUGUGUUCCAGGUAAAUCCGGUUCACUUUAACACUGAGGCGUGAUGACGAGGCACUACGGUGCUGAAGCAACAAAUGCCCUGCUUCCAGGAAAAGCCUCUAAGCAUCAGGUAACAUCAAAUCGUACCCCAAACCGACACAGGUGGUCAGGUAGAGAAUACCAAGGCGCUUGAGAGAACUCGGGUGAAGGAACUAGGCAAAAUGGUGCCGUAACUUCGGGAGAAGGCACGCUGACACGUAGGUGAAGUGAUUUACUCACGGAGCUGAAGUCAGUCGAAGAUACCAGCUGGCUGCAACUGUUUAUUAAAAACACAGCACUGUGCAAACACGAAAGUGGACGUAUACGGUGUGACGCCUGCCCGGUGCCGGAAGGUUAAUUGAUGGGGUCAGCGCAAGCGAAGCUCCUGAUCGAAGCCCCGGUAAACGGCGGCCGUAACUAUAACGGUCCUAAGGUAGCGAAAUUCCUUGUCGGGUAAGUUCCGACCUGCACGAAUGGCGUAAUGAUGGCCAGGCUGUCUCCACCCGAGACUCAGUGAAAUUGAACUCGCUGUGAAGAUGCAGUGUACCCGCGGCAAGACGGAAAGACCCCGUGAACCUUUACUAUAGCUUGACACUGAACAUUGAGCCUUGAUGUGUAGGAUAGGUGGGAGGCUUUGAAGCGUGGACGCCAGUCUGCGUGGAGCCGACCUUGAAAUACCACCCUUUAAUGUUUGAUGUUCUAACGUGGACCCGUAAUCCGGGUUGCGGACAGUGUCUGGUGGGUAGUUUGACUGGGGCGGUCUCCUCCUAAAGAGUAACGGAGGAGCACGAAGGUUGGCUAAUCCUGGUCGGACAUCAGGAGGUUAGUGCAAUGGCAUAAGCCAGCUUGACUGCGAGCGUGACGGCGCGAGCAGGUGCGAAAGCAGGUCAUAGUGAUCCGGUGGUUCUGAAUGGAAGGGCCAUCGCUCAACGGAUAAAAGGUACUCCGGGGAUAACAGGCUGAUACCGCCCAAGAGUUCAUAUCGACGGCGGUGUUUGGCACCUCGAUGUCGGCUCAUCACAUCCUGGGGCUGAAGUAGGUCCCAAGGGUAUGGCUGUUCGCCAUUUAAAGUGGUACGCGAGCUGGGUUUAGAACGUCGUGAGACAGUUCGGUCCCUAUCUGCCGUGGGCGCUGGAGAACUGAGGGGGGCUGCUCCUAGUACGAGAGGACCGGAGUGGACGCAUCACUGGUGUUCGGGUUGUCAUGCCAAUGGCACUGCCCGGUAGCUAAAUGCGGAAGAGAUAAGUGCUGAAAGCAUCUAAGCACGAAACUUGCCCCGAGAUGAGUUCUCCCUGAGACUUAGAGUCUCCUGAAGGAACGUUGAAGACGACGACGUUGAUAGGCCGGGUGUGUAAGCGCAGCGAUGCGUUGAGCUAACCGGUACUAAUGAACCGUGAGGCUUAACCUU
RNAcentral lists this ribosomal RNA (2905 nucleotides) under Salmonella enterica subsp. enterica. RNAcentral describes it as "23S ribosomal RNA". It matches the Rfam family "Bacterial large subunit ribosomal RNA". Lineage: Bacteria; Pseudomonadati; Pseudomonadota; Gammaproteobacteria; Enterobacterales; Enterobacteriaceae. The record is from RNAcentral.